RNAcentral lists this ribosomal RNA (400 nucleotides) under uncultured bacterium. Its description in RNAcentral is "bacterial SSU rRNA". It matches the Rfam family "Bacterial small subunit ribosomal RNA", at positions 975 to 1375 of the family's 1533-position model. The record is from RNAcentral.
CUGGGCUAGACAACGGCGGACCGUCCUAGAAAUAGGAUUUUCCCUUCGGGGACUGCCGGUUCAGGUGCUGCAUGGCUGUCGUCAGCUCGUGCCGUGAGGUGUUGGGUUAAGUCCCGCAACGAGCGCAACCCUCGUCCUUAGUUGCCACCAUUCAGUUGGGCACUCUAGGGAGACUACCGGCGUUAAGCCGGAGGAAGGUGGGGACGACGUCAAGUCAUCAUGGCCCUUAUGUCCAGGGCCACACACGUGCUACAAUGGACGGUACAAAGGGUCGCAAACCCGCGAGGGGGAGCCAAUCCCAAAAAGCCGUUCUCAGUUCGGAUUGGAGUCUGCAACUCGACUCCAUGAAGUCGGAAUCGCUAGUAAUCGUGGAUCAGAAUGUCACGGUGAAUACGUUCCC